AGCGGAGAAGAACUAACCAGGAUUCCCUUUAGUUCACCGGCGAAGUUGAACAGGGAAAAGCCAGCACCGAAGCCUGUGGUCGUUUGGCCUCUAGGCAAUGUUGGUGUUCAGGUUAGCUCGCGAAGAGGCUGCUCCACCCUAAGUCCUAUAAUGAGUAAGGUUACUCGGACAUGGCCCAAUGAGGGUGAAAGGCCCGUGGGGGUGGAGAUUCAGAAUGGCCAGUAUCUUCCUGAGCAGACCUUGGAGUCGGGUUGUUUGUGAAUGCAGCCCAAAGCGGGUGGUAAACUCCAUCCAAGGCUAAAUACUAGCACGAGUCCGAUAGCGAACAAGUACCGUGAGGGAAAGUUGAAAAGUACUUUGAAGAGAGAGUAAACAGUGCGUGAAACCGUUCAGAGGUAAACAGGUGGAGUUGAACUGCAAGCUCUGAGGAUUCAGCUGGUGAGUAUGGCAUGAGCUUGGUCAUAUUGGUUGUGUGCUCGGGUCUGCUUAGCUGCAGGUCUCCGCUUCGGUGGGGAUGCGCGAAUCACUCAUCAGGUGUUGUGCGCCCGGGUACUGACGGACCUGCUUGCACCUUUUUUUUUUUUAAAAAA
Molecule: ribosomal RNA, 590 nt
Filed under: Fasciola hepatica (liver fluke)
Lineage: Eukaryota; Metazoa; Platyhelminthes; Trematoda; Plagiorchiida; Fasciolidae
Description: eukaryotic LSU rRNA
Rfam family: Eukaryotic large subunit ribosomal RNA
Source: RNAcentral